GAUGAACGCUGGCGGCGUGCCUAAUACAUGCAAGUCGAGCGACCACACGAUGAGCUUUCUCCCCUGCCGUUAGCGGCUGACGGGUGAGUAACACGUGGAUCACCUUCCUCUAUGACUGGGAUAACUUCGGGAGACCGGAGCCACUACUAGAUCAUAUAUUCAACCGCAUGGAUCAAUAGUGAUUGACGGCUUUGCUGUCAGUUAUAGCUGGAUCCGUGUCGGAUUAGCUAGUUGGUAAGGUAACGGCUUACCAAGGCUACGAUGCGUAGCCGACCUGAGAGGAUGAUCGGCCACACUGGAACUGAGACACGGUCCAGACUCCUACGGGAGGCAGCAGUAGGGAAUAUUCGGCAAUGGGCGCAAGCCUGAUGGAGCAACGCCGCGUGAGUGAUGAAGGUCUUCGGAUUGUAAAACUCUUUUAUUAGGGAAGAAAAGCUGUGUAAGAAACUAUGGAUGUCUUGACGGUACCUAAACAGUAAGCACCGGCUAACUACGUG
Molecule: ribosomal RNA, 497 nt
Filed under: uncultured bacterium
Lineage: Bacteria
Description: partial 16S ribosomal RNA
Rfam family: Bacterial small subunit ribosomal RNA
Source: RNAcentral